Molecule: long non-coding RNA, 4915 nt
Filed under: Vitis vinifera (wine grape)
Lineage: Eukaryota; Viridiplantae; Streptophyta; Magnoliopsida; Vitales; Vitaceae
Description: long non-coding RNA (VVIN_LNC002573)
Source: RNAcentral
UUGAAUUAUACGCAAAGUAAUCUCUACCGAGUCAAAGCAAAGAAAAGUCAGAUCUGUCUGUUCGUCGAAAAUUUGUAUUCUGGGAUAAGCUCCAGGCUCUUGCCUCUUGCCUCUCAACUUCCUUCCUGCUUUCAGCCUCCAGUGAAUGGGAUUGUAAAUUGUAAGGCUAAAAAACUCUAUAAUUAUAUCAAAUAAAAAAUUAUUUCUAUGAAAUUUGAAUAACAUUUUUGGAAGAAGAUAGGGCAUGAAGUAUUUCCUAACAGCCUUACAUUUGUCUCACUAUGAAAGAUCUGAAUUUCUAAAUCUAGAGCCAAAAAAAGUGUAACAUAGAAAAAGUAUGAGAUUGUUCAAGAAUGGAUUUCAGCAACCGCCUCGAUCGCCACCUCUGCCUCAGCAAAUCCUCUAUCGCCCCACUGGCCUUGUGCCUAAAUGUAACCAAAUAAUUAUCCAAUAUGGUUGGGAAAUAGGCCUUGCAGUUCUCUACGGAACCUUCUUAGAAGUUAUAAUCUAGUACUUGGAACAUACAUUUCAAUGGAGCAAAGCUAUUUUGUCUGCAAUUCAAUUUUAGAGUCUUAUAAAUGCUUUUUCUCCAUCUUUCUUGUGAGAACAAUUAGGGAAUUGGUGAACUUGAACAAUCCGAUGAGUUAUCUCUUGCAACUCGAUCAAUCUAUGAUAAAACUCACUAUAAGCUUAAGAAAAGGUUGUGGUUUGAUUUUAAGGUCUCGCUCUAAUACACAUGAGAAAUUGUUUCUAUUAGCCAAUUAUUGUUAGGUAUAAUAAUAUCACCAUCUCCACCCCUUUUGUAAGGACAGUUUUGAUUCAACUUCAUCUGUUUUCAUCUGUUCACCUCUUAAACCCCCACGACACAUGGAGGCAUGAUUAAUUGAGUAUAAGGUGAAACCCAAAGUUCGAUACCAUUGGAUUAUAAGAGCAGGACAAACCCAAAAUGAUCCCUUCAGCUGCCUAAUUUCUUCAACUUAAAAAUACACAAAUUUUCAGCUGAUGAUAUAGACUGAGGUCCUCCAUGAUUGGAGAUUAGUUGAAGAAAGUCACCUUCUUUGUUAUUUUUCUCUCUUUUUGUCGAUGAAAACUCUAAUGAAGUACUAGUUAUAAUAUUCAGCCUAAUUACUUUAUCAAUGUCACUGAGAAUGAUGGCGAAAGCUUCUUAUGAGCAACGGAUGGACUCCCAUUGACAUAUAAUUGAUUGAUGUUGAAGACCAUGGAUGUCUGCAGGAGAUUGGUUGAUGGAAGCAGAGACUAUCAUUCUGUAUAGAAAACCUAAAACCACAGUUACACCAUCUUAGUCUUCUUCCAAUAUCCACAGUGUAAAGCAUGUAAGUAGAGACUACCAAUUAAUUGUCCACUUUCAAAAUUACAAAGAUAAGAAAAUUCAGUUGAAGCCUUGAAGGAAUGAUUUAAGUUUUGACUACAUUGGAUCCAAUUUCACGCUAGUGUGAGUCAAGCUUUAUUAGAACCUUGUUGGGAGAUGGACGCCAUACAUUUUUGUAAGCAAGCUUGACUCCUGAGCCAAAUCGAUUGUAAUGGGUCAAAAAGGAAAUGGAAACUAAAGAGGAAAACUUACCAAAUUCCUUCCAUGAAUCACUUUAACUUUCGUAUGAACCCAUGAAUAUAAUCAUUAUUCAAAUUCUACUAAAUUAUUUUUUUUUCAUUUUAGAAUGAUUACUUUUUUUUUAUUGUUAUAAUUGAAAAUUUUCCCUUCACCAAUAUACAGAGUAAUAUCAAAAUAAACUUUGAGAAGAUUGAAACACCCUUACUAUGGAUUGAAUACUCCAACAUAGUUGUCUGCACAACUUAAAACUUAUUCACUUGACAUCAUCAACAUGCUGAAAUCAAUAUGAUCACUUCAACUCUCAGAUCCGCCACCAUCACUCCUGUCCAGAGCAACCAUGUGCUGCCAUCUGUUUACCAUAGCUCUUUUAGUGACUCUGCAUGGCGGUUUAUAUCUUUCCUGUUGCCUGUGGCCAAGCUUGCAAAGACAUAUCACGAUUAGAAUGGCUGCAAACCCGGAUGCGCAUGCUAUGAGCCGACAGCACGCCCUUCCAUUUUCCGGGUAGAAACUGACCAUGAGAUGCAAAGUUUGAACCUUCCAUAUAUUAUAUAAAUAUAGUGGCAAGUCUUUGAGCUAUGGAGGAUGUUAUGCAGAAACUUUGCGGUUCAGAAGUUGACUUUGGUUUAUGGGGUUUCCUACACUCUUACAAGGAUGCCGCAGUUGACCUGUGGAACUUGAAUGCUACCUCCCCAGACAAGCAUUGAAAAGAGCAUUUGUUUUCUAUUUAAUGUAUACUGGAAGUUGAAAUAGAUUCUUCAAUCUGUUGCUUUUUUUUAACACAUCUGUCCAGAGUCCUUGCUUAAAUUUCGGCCUCAAAGCAUCACGACAGAGAAUUAAGCACCCAACACAUUUUCCAAUUUGUUUCUUGGAGGUGAAAAAAACAAAAUAAAGUGUUGUACUGAAUAAGUCAGGACUGCAGACUGAUCUGGGAGUGGGGCAAUUAGUCAUUGCCAAGUAACAUCACAUAGUGGCAAAAUUAAUGAAAAAAUGGUGAUCAUGAUGGAUGUUGGGAAAUUAGAGAGAGAAACAACAGAUUAAUGAAAGAAUAUAUGUGAUUUGAUUGCUCUAUCCACUAAUUUGAUAGAAUCGACAUAGAGAAAUCUAUAUGAGUGGCAUCUAAAACUCUUCAUGUACAUCAAACAUCCUUACACACUCCAAUCAAAUAGAAAAAUUGGAAAGAAAAUGUGUAGGUUUGAAAGGAAAGGAAAUGAAAUGAAAUCUAAACAAGGUAGAGAGUAGAGUGAUUAAACACCAGCAUAGCCAUCACAAGUGCAGUUGGCAUCGCUGCCGCUUAAGUCGCCAUGUUGGGGAGGUUUAGUGCUGAUGCAACAACACACGAGGCCUAUCAACAGCAUGAAGCCCGAAGCUGAGGCCAAGGCCUGCGCCCAUUUCAGGUAAUGCUCCAUCUUCUUCCUUUUUCCUCAAUUCUUCUCCCAUCAUGUCAACAAGCUAUCAACAAGUUUAUUCUUGCUCAUCACACGGCUUACAGAGUAUUCAUCAAUGGUGCCAGCUCUUUAAUUAGUGAAAGAAUAAUGGUAUCAGGUGGUGAGAGAAGGAAGAAGAGAGACGUGGGAGAGAAGUAGUGGAGCACAUGGCUGAGCUUGAAAGAGGCCAAAAUAACAUGGGGCGCCUGUGAACCUAACGGCUAACAGUCGCAUCAAGUCUCCUUCCACAAAAACUACAUGUCAAUUGUUGAUAUGAGUUUUUGUUUCGGUUAACUACUUGGGAACAUCAUUCAAAGGAUGAGAUUGGAAUGUUCACUCUUUGCAGUCUCUCCCGCACUUUAGGCACUAGUGGCAGUUGUGAUAUCUAAUCAGAGGCCUUACAAUCUAAGCUUUAAUAAUGAAGGUAACACCCAAAUGCCUCUGAUAUUUUUUCCAAAUAUAUUCAAUGGUAUGUAAUACUAUGUGUUCUAUAUAUCAUUAAUGGUUACAAAGUUAUCUGUAAAGUAAUAUAAAAAAAAGUUCAAAAAAUAGAAUAUUACUAAAACCUAAAAGACUCUGCCGACAAAACUCCAGAUUUAAUGAGUUACAACUCAUGUACUACGUACAUGAGUAAAAAAGAUAAUAAUGUUUGAAUAUUUAAUACAGAUAUGUAGCGCCUUCUGCUUUUGAGGGAGAGAGCCCGCCUAUACCAUUGUGAUUGGUUCAAUCUUCAAUCUUCCCAAGCUGAAGGGUUAAGGGUGAGGGCACCUUUGAGAAUCCAAAGUUGCAAAAGCAAUUGUUACAGGGCUGAGAGAGUGGUGGUCCUGGAUCAAAAUAUUUAAAGAUGUUUCCAGUCAUAUCUUUGGGCUGGCAUUGAAAGUGCUUUAGUGUAUCAUUAAUAUAACUUAAAUGUUAGUGGCAUCAGAUCAUUGCCAGCGCACACGAAUGUGCACCAUCAUGGUAAUUGGUAAGUGCCGCUCACUUGGCCCUCAGGGAAGCCAUUUACGCGGAUCGGCUCAUCCAGGUGACUGUACUGCUCUCAUUGCAUUCAAGGCCAGGUUCUGCACUAUGAAGUAUGAACUAGUGUAAGCCUUGAUUUUGAAAAGCUACAACUGGCAACUCACUCACCAAAAAUUUUAGGUAAUCGCUACAAGCGCGUGGCCUCCUAUGGCCUGGAGCCUAUGAUGAUUUGGAAAGACCGAAGGAGAAGUGUUGUUUCGUGAAUGAAUGAAGAGAAACGUAAUGAAGAAAAAGGAGAAAGCAAAAGAAAAGCUUUAUGCGUGCCUCCACAUUACAAAAUAUUCGAGUCAGAAAACCCACUGGAACAUCGUUGCUUUUGUCCUAAACAAAAGGCCCGAAAGUAACCCCGAUUCAACUUUUUCUUAAAUAUUCGGAUGCCCCAUUCACAUUUGAAAAUGCGUGUUUACCAGUGUUGAUAAGUGGCUUACAUAGCACGUUGGUAGCUACCAUGAAUUUUUCAUCUCCGGCUUAAAAUCCAUUUCUUCUACCCCGUGCCUGCUAUUAUUAAUAAUUUAAACCUUUGAUUUAUUCAUUUUCCGCAACUCCCUUGCACGGCAAAUAAGAAAUCUACCCAAGCAAGAGAAGCCUAGGGAAUCAAUUGUUUCCUAUCGGGUAGGUUCUAUUUUUGUUCGCCUUUUUCUUCCCUAACUCCAUGGCUCCAGCCCCCAAUGUUUAAACGUACCCCUUUUUCAACAUCAGCACAUCACCAAAGGCAUAGAAUCUUCAUCUCUUCCUAUGUACCGAAUUUCACCAAUCUCAUGCUCGUGCUUGUACCAGGUCGCACGAUAGUCAGCAUCCAUUAUAGAACCUUUAAUUCAUUUUGGAGCCUGUUCGAUCUCCACAAAGACGCAAGACAUUCACUUCAGGAAAUACUCACCUCCAAUGAACCGGCACAACCAGC